Molecule: ribosomal RNA, 253 nt
Filed under: uncultured bacterium
Lineage: Bacteria
Description: partial 16S ribosomal RNA
Rfam family: Bacterial small subunit ribosomal RNA
Source: RNAcentral
UACGAAGGGAACUAGCGUUGUUCGGAAUCACUGGGCGUAAAGCGGGCGCAGGCGGACUAUCCAGUCAGGGGUGAAAGCCCAAGGCUUAACCUUGGAAUUGCCUUUGAAACUGAUAGUCUGGAGUGUGUGAGGGGGUAGCGGAAUUCCGAAUGUAGAGGUGAAAUUCGUAGAUAUUCGGAGGAGCACCGGUGGCGAAGGCGGCUACCUGGCACACAACUGACGCUGAGGCCCGAAAGCGUGGGGAUCAAACAGG